AAUUCUUGUCUUAGAAGUUAUAUAUGGUGAUCUAUGUUCACAAACAUUGGUGGCAAAAUUGGGUCAGAGAAGUUUAUGAUUUGCCAUGAUGAUAGUUCCCUUGUGACUUCUUAUGAUUCUGGCAUGGUACUUAGUGGGAGACUUUCUUGUAUUGGUUGUGGUCUUAAGCAUAAAUCAAGUCCAAGCAAGUAUUUGUGAUGCUCCUAGUUUGAAAACUUCUUCAAUGAUUGUCAUAUAUAUGAUAGUCUUGGUUUUGAUUCCUCAAGGAACUCUAUAUUUCUAGCACAUUUCUUGUACUUGUAUAGGAAGAUUGCACUGGUAGCAAGAGC
This 329-nucleotide long non-coding RNA is filed under the name Phoenix dactylifera (date palm). RNAcentral's name for it is "long non-coding RNA (PDAC_LNC014939)". The record is from RNAcentral. Lineage: Eukaryota; Viridiplantae; Streptophyta; Magnoliopsida; Arecales; Arecaceae.